CUUUGCUGUGCAAAAGCUUGUCAGUUUGAUUAGGUCCCAUUGAUUUAUUUUUGCUUUUAUUUCUGUUGCUUUGGGAGACUGACCUGAGUAAAUAUUCACAAGGUUGAUGUCAGAGAAUGUUUUGUGUAUGGUCUCUUCUAGGAGUUUGAUGGUGUCUUGUCUUAUAUUUAAGUCUUUUAGCCAUUUUGAGUUUAUUUUGGUGCAUGGUGUGAGGGUGUGUUCUAGUUUCAUUGAUUUGCGUGCAGCUGUCUAGGUUUCCCAGUAAUACUUGCUGAAAAUACUGUCUUUUUCCCAUUUAGUGUUCUUGCCUCCUUUGUGAAAUAUUAAUUGACCAUAGGUGUCUGGGUUAAUUUCUGGGUUCUCUAUCCUGUUCCAUUGGUCUGUCUGUCUGUUUUGGUACCAGUAGCACACCGUCUUGAUGACUGUGGCUUUGUUAUAUUGCUUGAAGUCUGGGAGACUUAUGCCUCCUGCUUGGUUUUUGUUCCUCAGAAUUGCUUUGGCAAUUCUGGGUCUUUUGUGGUUCCAUAUAAAUUUUUGGACUGUUUAUUCUAGUUCUGCAAAAAAUGUCAUGGGUAAACUGAUAGGGAUUGUAUUGACUCUGUAGAUUGCUUUGGGUAGUAUGGCCAUUUUUACAAUAUUAAUUUUCCAACCUAUGAGCAUGGAAUAUCUUUCCAUUUCUUUACAUCUUCUUUAAUUUCCUUGAUUAAUGUUUUAUAGUUCGUGGCAUAUAAGUCCUUUAUCUCCUUGGUCUGGUGUAUUCCCAGGUAUUUGACUUUUUGUGUUGCAAUUUAAAAAGGUAUUGUAUUUCUGUAUUCCUUUUCUAAUAUUAAAUUGUUAGUAUACAGAAGUACGACUGAUUUCUGAAUGUUAAGCUUACAUUUUGCUACUUUGCUGAAUUUGUUGAUCAGUUCAAGUAGUUUUGAGUCCUUAGGGUUUUCUAUAUAUAGUAUCAUUUCAUCUGCUUACAGUGACGGUUUUACCUCUUCUCUUCCUAUUUGGAUGCCUUUUAUUUCUUUUGUUUGUCUGAUUGCUGUGGCUAGGACUUCCAGUACUAUGUUUAAUAACAGAGGUGAGAGUGGACAUCCUUGUCUUGUUCCAGAUUUUAGUGGAAAGGCUUUCCUUUUUUCUCCAUUGAGUAUUAUAUUUGCUGUGGGUUUGUCAUAAAUGUCUUUGAUUAUGUUAAGGUAUGUUCCCUCUAUACCCACUUUGGUAAGAGUUUUUAUCAUGAAUGGAUGUUGGACUUUGUCAAAUGCUUUCUCUGUGUCUAUUGAGAUGAUCAUGUGGUUUUUUACUCUUCUUUUGUUAAUGUGGUGUAUGAAGUUGAUUGAUUUUUUUCUUUUUUGGUGAUAUCUUUGUCUGUUUUUGGAAUUAGGGUGAUGAUGGCAUCAUAGAAUUUCUUUGGGAGUAUUCCUUCUUCUUCGACCUUUUGAAAAAGUUUAAGGAGGAUGGGUAUAAGUUCCUCUUUGUAUGUUUUGCAGAAUUCACCUGGGAAGCCAUCUGGUCCUGGACUUUUAUUUGUAGGGAGUGUUUUUAUGACAUAUUCAAUUUCAUUUCUAGUGAUUGGUCUGUUCAGCUGACCUAUUUCUUCUUGAUUCAGUUUUGGCAGGCUGUAGGUCUCUAGAAAGUUGUCCAUUUCUUCUAGGUUGUCAAAUUUGUUGGCAUAUGAUUGUUCAUAGUAUUCUCUCAUGUUUUUUUUUUUUUUGUAUUUCUGUAGUAUCCAUUGUGACUUCGUUUUUUUUUAUUUCUUAUUUUGUUUAUUUAGGUGUUUUUUUUUUUCCUCCUCUUCUUGGUGAGUCUAGCCAGAGGUUUGUCAAUAUUGUUUACCUUUUCAAAGAACAAGCUCUUGGUUUUAUUUAUUUCUUCUACUGUUUUUUUAUCUAUAUUUUAUUGAUUUCCUCUUUGAUCUUUAUGAUUUCCUUCCUUCUGCUGACUUUAGGUUUUGUUUGUUCUCCUUUUCCUAAUUCAUUUAGGUGGUGGGUCAAUUUGUUGAUUUGAGAUUUUUUCUUCUUUUUUGAGGAAGGCCUGCAUUGCUAUGAAUUUCCCGCUGAGCACUGCUUUUGUUGCAUCCCACAUAUUUUGAGAGGUUGUGUCUUCAUUAUCAUUUGCCUUGGGGUAUUUUUUAAUUUCAUUCUUGAUUUUUUCAUUGAUCCAUUGGUUUUUUAGUAGCAUGUUGUUUAGCCUCCAUGUAGUUAGUUUUUUCUCAGUUCUUUUCCUGUGGUUGAUUUCUAGUUUCAUGCCAUUGUGAUCAGAGAAGAUACUUGAAAUAAUUUCUAUAUUCUUAAAUUUGGUGAGGUUAGCUUUGUGUCCCAGUAUGUGAUCAAUUCUUCAGAAUGUUCCAUGUGCACUUGAGAAGAAUGUAUAUUCUGAUUUUUUUUGGAUGUAAUAUCCUGAAAAUGUCAAUUAUGUGUGACUUCUAUUGUGUCCUUUAGGAUCUGUUGCCUUAUUGAUUUUCUGUCUAGAUGAUCUGUCCAUUGUUGUGAGUGGGGUGUUAAGGCUCCUACUACAAUUAUAUUCCCAUCAAUUUAUCCUUUUAUGUCUGUUAGUAUUUGUUGGAGGUAUUUGGGUGCUCCUAUAUUAGGGGCAUAUAUAUUGACGAUUGUAAUAUCCUCUUCUUGAAUGGAUCCUUUAACCAUUAAAUAGUGUCCUUCUUUGUCUUUCUUAAUGGUCUUCAUUUUAAAGUCUACUUUGAUGAGCAUUGCAGCUCCUGCUUUCCUGUCUUGUCCAUUGGCAUGAAGUAUCUUUUCCCAUCCCCUCACUUUAAUCUAUAUGUGUCCUUUGCUCUAAGGUGAGUUUCUUGUAGGCAGCAGAUUGAAGGUUUUUGCUUUUUUUAUCCAAUCUGCCACUCUGUGUCUUUUGAUUGGAGCAUUUAGUUCAUUGACAUUUAAGGUGAUUAUUGAUAGAUAUAUAUUUAUUUCCAUUUUAAACCUUGUUUUCCAGUUGAUUCUAUGUUUCUCUUUUCUUUUUUGGGUUGGAUGGUUUCCAUUUAUUUUAUGCUUGAGUAUAUUUCUUUUCAGUUUUUAUGAAUGUAAUGUUUGGUUUUGAUUUGUGGUUGCCCUUUUUUUUAAAAAAGCAUGUUAAGCCCUUCCUAUAUCUGCUAGCUUUUGCCUGAUAGUCAUAUAGGCUCAAACACAUCAUUAAAAUAAAAAAAAUCUAUAUUUUCUUACUUUCCUUCCCCAUAUUGUAUGAUUUUGAUGUCUUUUUUUCUUUUAACAUUUUUAUGUUUAGGUCUGUAUGCUGUCUUAUUUAAGUGACUGCUUUCCAGUUGUGAUUUCCUCCAUCUGAAUUCUUCUUUUUCUCUUUUUUUUCUUUUAACUUAGAGAAGUCCUUUCAGUAUUCCAUUUAGAAUGGUUUUAGCAUUGCUGUACUCUUUUAGCUUUUGUUUGUUGGAGAAAUUCUUUAUUUCCCCUUCUAAUUUAAAUGAUAUUCUUGCUGGAUACAGUAUUCUAGGUUGCAAAUUUUUUUCCUUUCAGCACUUUAAAUAUAUCUUGCCACUCCCUUUUGGCCUGUAGUGUUUCUGUAGAGAAAUCUGCUAAUAGCCUUAUGGGGCUUCCCUUAUAAUUAAUGCUUUGCUUUUCUCUUGCUGCCUUUAGAAUCCUCUCUUUAACUUUUGUCAUUUUUAUUAUAAUAUUUCUUGGUGUGGGCCUAUUUGGGUUAAUCUUGUUUGGGGCCCUCUGUCCUUACUGUAUCUUAAUAUCAGUAUGCUUUAGAUUUGGGAAGUUUUCAGCCAUAAUUUCUUCAAAUAUAUUUUCAGUCCCCUUUUCUUCUUUUCCUUCUGGAAUUCCUAUUAUGCAUACAUUGGCCCACUUUAUGUUAUCCCAUAGGUCUCUCAUAUUUCUUUCAUAUUUUUUCAUUUUGUUUUCUGUCUGCUGUCUUGAUUGGGAGAUUUCCAUUAUUUUAUCUUCCACAUCACUAAUUCAUUCCUCUGCAUUAUUAAUUCUGCUCUUUAUUGCCUUAAGCUCAGUUUGUAUCUCUGCAAAUUAAUUUUCUAGUUUUUCUUGGCUCCUUCUUGUAUUUUCUAGUUCCAUUCUAAAGGAAUCUGCAUUACUAUUAAUAUCCUUUCUUAAUUCCUUCAGAAUUUUCAAUACCUCCCUUUUGAACUCAAUGUCUGUCAGACUGCAGAGAUCUGUUAUUUCAUUGUUGACUGCCUUAGGUGAAUUUUCCUGUUCCUUUAAUUGGAAAUGGUUUCUGUGCUUCCUCAUCUUGCUUGUGUUUUUCUUUUUAUAUGAAUUUGGGGAAGCCAAACUGUAGUCUUGUAAGGCUACUUCUAUGCAAGAAUACCCCUUUAUAUUUUUGGGGGGUUACUAUUUAUUUUUGGUGUGGGAGUUUGAAUAUUUGAAUCUCUUUCUUCAGUGUGAGCAGACUGUUGUCCCCAGGAUGCUCAGUGUGUUUUCAGGGAGAAGGAGGCAAUGGGUAGGGCCAGCAGUCAGUGCAUGGUUGUUGGCCUCUCAAUACCAGCAAGGACCUGUAGGAAGGUGGCACAGGCUACUCCUAGUUGCAGGGCCCUGGGAAGUGGUAAUAAGCUCUAGGCAGAUCUUCAAGGUGACCAGAGCAUUUGGCAGUAGCAACAGCAGUGUGCGUGAGUUCCCAGGGGAGUGAGAGCAACAACAGCUUGUGUUCAAUUGCAAUGCCCUCCUCUGAGGUGAUUGGAACCACAAGUGGUGCCUGUUCAGGGACCCCUAUUGGGAGCAGCCCAUGACCAUCUCUAGAGUCAAUUAUAACUGUGGUGGUUUGCUCCCGCCCCCUGUAGACUAUGCAUGAAGCAACCCGUCUCACUUAGCCCACAUAUGAAGUGUUGUAAAGGGUGCUCCUAGUUGCAGGAUUCUGGGACAUGACAGAGAUCAGGCGUGUGGGUACUGCCCAGAACGUUUGGCAGUGGCAGCAGCAGGGCUGGUGUGUCCCCGGAGGUGCGAGAGCACCAACAGGUGGUGUUUGGUCACAAU
Molecule: long non-coding RNA, 4940 nt
Filed under: Sus scrofa (pig)
Lineage: Eukaryota; Metazoa; Chordata; Mammalia; Artiodactyla; Suidae
Description: lncRNA (ENSSSCG00060001391.1)
Source: RNAcentral